AAGGGUUAGGGGAAGGGGAGAGAAGCAAAAGCUUCAGGAGAAAUGAAAAACAAAAACGAGCAGAGAAGUUAGAAGGAAAAGAGAAAAGAAGGAGGAAGAAGUUGAUGCAGUGCGUUAGAACCAUAGCUAUAACUGUUGAGGAAUCUUAAGCACUGAUUGAAUUUUACUGGUAAUACUUGAACUUCUUCUUCUGGUAGAUUUUAAUUUUGUUUUCAAUGAUCGAAAGAUUCUAAAGAGUAAUUAAGAAUUUUCUUAGAAAUUAUACUAAUUCAAUCACGUAAUCAAGAAUUUUCUUCCUGAAGAAUCCAUAGAACUUUAUGAAAAUAGGUUAAUAAAAUAUAUGAAUAGGUUGGAGUUGAUAAAUUAGUAAUUACUUAUCCCGUGGGUAAAUAUAAUUCGGCGAAUUAAGAGUUAAAUAUGAAACCUUGAGGGUUGGGUAUUCUAAAUUAGCUAUGAAUUAGCCUAAACAUGGAAAUUAACAUGAGAUCGAUAUUAUGUAACUAUAGAUUGAUCGGAGGAAGUUGUACGAAUUGCUCGAGGUGAAGCAUUUGGUAUUUCAGCUCGAAUACCGUGAGUAGUAAUCUUAUUGCAAUUUGUAUUUUCAUAACUUACAUGAUUUACAUAUAAUAUUUAAUAUAAAUAUAUUACCGAUUAUUUUAAGUUACAUGUGGGACAAAUCUUUUACUCGAUAUGAUACCGAAAUAGUUAUUUGAGAUGAUUACCGUUGUUUUAAAUAUUCUUGUUGUCAUUAGAUAUGCUUUAAUGUUACUUGAAUUUACUGCUAUCGAAACGAAAUUACAUGAUUUGAUAAGAACCAAAAUGCCUUAUAUUGUUUUAAAAUACUUUCCUAUGAGUAUAUACGGAUUACAAAGACAAGUAUAUAUGUGAGUAGACUUUGAAGGAUCCCGUAGCUAACAGUGGGUUCGUUAGACCUGGGGAUUACAAAGACAAGUAUAUAUGUGAGUAGACUUUGAAGGAUCCCGUAGCUAACGGUGGGUUCGUUAGACCUGAUGCACCUUGUAAUUACAAAUUAUCAUUACAACACUCGCUAGUGGGAAGGUAGAACUAGCAUAAUGUUACUGAUUUCCCUCGAGUAGGGACUACCGUUAUAUUUGACUUCCACAGUUAUACCGAUUACAGAUCCAUUCACUGAAACCUCCCAAAUAUGAAUAUUGAUAUUAUACAGUGGUUACCGAGCUUAUUACUAAAUUGUCAAUUGUAUUAUACUAUAAAAAACAUGAUGAGACUGAAAACUAUUUCUUGUUUCUGAAAUGGAAUUUUUAUGUGAUAGGUUUUCAAUAUCUUUGCCUUGUAUUUUGAUGAUCUAACAAACUUAAUGUCAAGGAAUAGAUAGGGAACCUGACUCAUUUGGACUACACUGCAUAUAACGGAUUCCAGCUAAAGGUGAACUGCUACAGCUUCAGGAGCUAGGAAACUAAAUAAGGACCUGAUACCCUUGUGGUUCCCUCGUAGCAGUAUAAAGUCAAUUGGACACAACUAGAAAUGAAGUGACUGCCUGCAUUGUUUCUGCCGCACUGCACUGGCACCAGCGUCCACUCAUUCCUUAACCAACCAAAGUGCUCACAUCAUUUCAAGUGAUGUAAUCAAGGUGUACCAACAAUGAGUCUAUAUUAAAACAUCAC
Molecule: long non-coding RNA, 1643 nt
Filed under: Nicotiana tabacum (common tobacco)
Lineage: Eukaryota; Viridiplantae; Streptophyta; Magnoliopsida; Solanales; Solanaceae
Description: long non-coding RNA (NTAB_LNC002996)
Source: RNAcentral